GUGAGGAAUAUUGCGCAAUGGGGGAAACCCUGACGCAGCGACGCCGCGUGGGCGACGAAGGCCUUCGGGUCGUAAAGCCCUUUUGUCAGGGACGAGUGAGGACGGUACCUGGCGAAUAAGUCUCGGCUAACUACGUGCCAGCAGCCGCGGUAAAACGUAGGAGGCGAGCGUUAUCCGGAUUCACUGGGCGUAAAGCGCGCGUAGGCGGUUGGUUAAGUCGGAUGUGAAAGCCCCUGGCUCAACUGGGGGAGGUCAUUCGAUACUGGCCGGCUUGAGGGUGAGAGAGGGAAGUGGAAUUCCCGGUGUAGCGGUGGAAUGCGUAGAGAUCGGGAGGAACACCAGUGGCGAAGGCGGCUUCCUGGCUCACUUCUGACGCUGAGAGCGCGAAAGCGUGGGGAGCAAACGGGAUUAGAAACCCUAGUAGUCC
Molecule: ribosomal RNA, 427 nt
Filed under: uncultured bacterium
Lineage: Bacteria
Description: bacterial SSU rRNA
Rfam family: Bacterial small subunit ribosomal RNA
Source: RNAcentral